GGAGAGCAGAAGAAUCUGGAAAAUCCAUGUGCGCCUGCUUACCUUGCUGCAGCUUGCAUGCAGACUAUGACUCCUCCCACCUCCGCGAUGUGUGUGAAGAGAUGUUUCUCCAUAUCCCCUGCAGGAAUGCUCUGAACAUUGCCUUACUCCUGAUCUAGUCUUGCCUGAGGAGACCAGAAGUCUACUGAUGCACUGUUCCUUUUAGCCAGAGGAAAAGGAUGCUGCCCAAGAAGAGCUGGAAAGAAUCAGCAGUGCAGCCGCGCUUCAAUAAUCAUCCAGUUCCAAGGACUGAUAGAGUAAAAGAAGUGGUGAAGCCAGAAAUGAAGCCUUUCCUCACAGAAGAUACAAAUUAACAGCUAUGAGGAUGUUGC
This 371-nucleotide long non-coding RNA is filed under the name Anas platyrhynchos platyrhynchos (common mallard). RNAcentral's name for it is "lncRNA (ENSAPLG00000027895.1)". Lineage: Eukaryota; Metazoa; Chordata; Aves; Anseriformes; Anatidae. The record is from RNAcentral.